UCAGGCCUAACACAUGCAAGUCGAACGGUAACAGGAAACAGCUUGCUGUUUCGCUGACGAGUGGCGGACGGGUGAGUAAUGUCUGGGAAGCUGCCUGAUGGAGGGGGAUAACUACUGGAAACGGUAGCUAAUACCGCAUAAUGUCGCAAGACCAAAGAGGGGGACCUUCGGGCCUCUUGCCAUCGGAUGUGCCCAGAUGGGAUUAGCUUGUUGGUGGGGUAACGGCUCACCAAGGCGACGAUCCCUAGCUGGUCUGAGAGGAUGACCAGCCACACUGGAACUGAGACACGGUCCAGACUCCUACGGGAGGCAGCAGUGGGGAAUAUUGCACAAUGGGCGCAAGCCUGAUGCAGCCAUGCCGCGUGUA
This 367-nucleotide ribosomal RNA is filed under the name uncultured bacterium. RNAcentral describes it as "bacterial SSU rRNA". It matches the Rfam family "Bacterial small subunit ribosomal RNA", at positions 42 to 405 of the family's 1533-position model. The record is from RNAcentral.